GAAAAAGGCAGGACAGAAGAACAUCAACU
RNAcentral lists this non-coding RNA (29 nucleotides) under Cricetulus griseus (Chinese hamster). Lineage: Eukaryota; Metazoa; Chordata; Mammalia; Rodentia; Cricetidae. The record is from RNAcentral.